RNAcentral lists this ribosomal RNA (279 nucleotides) under uncultured bacterium. Its description in RNAcentral is "partial 16S ribosomal RNA". It matches the Rfam family "Bacterial small subunit ribosomal RNA", at positions 506 to 784 of the family's 1533-position model. The record is from RNAcentral.
UGCCAGCCGCCGCGGUAAUACGGAGGGUGCAAGCGUUAAUCGGAAUUACUGGGCGUAAAGCGCACGUAGGCGGACAAUUAAGUCGGAUGUGAAAGCCCUGGGCUCAACCUGGGAAUGCCAUCCGAUACUGGUUGUCUGGAAUACAGUAGAGGGUAGUGGAAUUUCCGGUGUAGCGGUGAAAUGCGUAGAUAUCGGAAGGAACAUCAGUGGCGAAGGCGGCUACCUGGACUGAUAUUGACGCUGAGGUGCGAAAGCGUGGGGAGCAAACAGGAUUAGAUA